AUAGCCCGUCACGGCGCACGCGCGAACAGACCACUGUGUGAAAGUAGUACCCUCACAUCGCGACUCUGUGCACGAAACGAACUUUUGUGUUUAAAUGUGCUACGCAAUGGAUAUUGUUACUUUGGACCCAACUGGACUAUACUAAAAGCUGGAAAUUAUUUACCACAUCAUCAUGGACGGCCUGACCCUAGACCCCACUGGUCAGUACUAACUAAUGGCUUUUAAGAGUUUGGACCCGACCGGUGUGUAUUGAACUUUCUUAUUAGAAUAUUUCUUAAUAAAAUGGCGGUAAAGGUUCUCGAUCCUACCGGACAAUACUAAAGUAACAAAAUGGUCGGGUUAGAUCCCACAGAAAUCUACUAAACACUUUCUACCUUCUAUGAGGCAAUAUGUGCUGCGGCAGACGGAGAAUUCUUACUGGCACGCGCCCAGAGGAAACAUCUUCUUGUAGGAAAAGGAGGCAUUCGUUUGAAACCUAACUGACUUCCGAAUAAUGACAACAGCUGUAAAUAAUCCGAAUAAAUUGAAGGGGGGCGUGAGCGCAAGGUCAUCGGAUGGAAAUCAGCUGACUUGCGCGCAGCGUGCUAUCCGGAAAUGCAGACAUAGAAAAAAAACUCUGUGCAGUAACUUAGUUCAAAAAACGCUUGUUACAGAAGAUCCUUAUUAUUAUGAGAUUUUUUCCCCGCUUCACAUCAUCCGCAUCACAGUUUUCAACUUCAUCUCCUCAAGACUCCAAUCACUGUUUCAUCAAUACUCACUAGUUUUAAGCGCUAUUUGACUGAAUACAUACUUUUCUAAAUCUUACAUAUCUUUCAUGCAUUUGUAUUUUAAAUAAAUUAUUGUAUUUAAAAAUGUAUAAUUGUAAGUUGAUGCAGCUUUGUUGACAGCUAUAAGAUAGAUUGUUUUAGAUAGUAAGCUAAUUUUUUUUUAAUUCUAAUAGUAUAAAUAAGAUGUAUUUAAUAUUUAGUGAAAAUGGCAAUCUCUAUUUUCUGUCAAUAAAGUAGCAUCGAACUAUGUGUAGAGUCUACACUGUAGAUGUUAAGAAUUAUAUGGACAAGCAAAAAGAGGCAAAGGGUUUUUUGAAUGGUUUUCUUUGUUGGACUGUAUAUUUUUAUAAGAAACCUUCAAAAUUUACCAUAUAUAAAAUUUAUAGGUAGUUAUUAGUUAAGUAAUACGAUUUCCGCUUCUUAUUAUUUUCCGCACCAUUCGAGUUACCAAUUUGAUUUCAUGCUUAUACAAAAUGUAAAUAAAAUAAUGCUUUCUUCUGCUCUUUCUUAUCUUCACUCUUUCUUAUUCAAAUAUGACAUGAAUGAAAUAUUUUUAACUAAUAAAACUGCGAGUAGCAGUCUACAAAAUUUAACGCAAUUUUAAUUCAGUGUUGCCAUUUAAGACUGAAACAUUUUAAUUAAUUGUUAUUAUCGGAAGGAAGGAUAUCUAUCGCCUUUUCGUAAUGAAAACGCCCAGAAAGUAUCCCACCCUAGCGUACACGAGUUAUAAACAAUGUAAUAAUUAUCGUAUAGUUAUAGUGAAUAAUAAAGAUGUUAUAUAUUACUUCUGAAA
This 1560-nucleotide unclassified non-coding RNA is filed under the name Melitaea cinxia (Glanville fritillary). Its description in RNAcentral is "misc RNA ENSMCXG00005007521.1". The record is from RNAcentral. Lineage: Eukaryota; Metazoa; Arthropoda; Insecta; Lepidoptera; Nymphalidae.